GAUAUCAACAGAUGGCUGAAGCUGGGGACAAGCACCCAAUAAGGUUUCAAGAGUUUGUAAGUGAUAUUCAUCAGGGAAGACUUGAAUUAUGCAAUCCAUCAAAUAGCCCUGAGCAAUCUCAUCUUUACAGUUGACAACCUGUGUCAGCAUAUUCACAUGCACAUUUGAAAUAUUAUCAGAUAGCACAUUAUGCCACCUUAGGUUUCUAAAUAAGGGGAAAAAGAAAGAAAUCAAUGAGGCAAGACCUACAUAAUCAGACCUGCUCUAAAAC
This 271-nucleotide unclassified non-coding RNA is filed under the name Hevea brasiliensis (rubber tree). Lineage: Eukaryota; Viridiplantae; Streptophyta; Magnoliopsida; Malpighiales; Euphorbiaceae. The record is from RNAcentral.